Molecule: ribosomal RNA, 258 nt
Filed under: uncultured bacterium
Lineage: Bacteria
Description: partial 16S ribosomal RNA
Rfam family: Bacterial small subunit ribosomal RNA
Source: RNAcentral
CGGCACGGGUGAGUAAUACGUAUGCAACCUGCCUGCCACAGCCGGAUAAUCGGGAGAAAUUCCGUCUAAUACGGCAUAAUGCAUCGACGGGACAUCCUGUUGGUGCCAAAGGUUGAUUCCGGUGGCGGAUGGGCAUGCGUCGCAUUAGUUAGUUGGCGGUGUAACGGACCACCAAGACGACGAUGCGUAGGGGUUCUGAGAGGAAGGUCCCCCACACUGGUACUGAGACACGGACCAGACUCCUACGGGAGGCAGCAG